ACAUUACAACUUUCAGCGAUGGAUGUCUAGGUUCUCGCAAC
This 41-nucleotide ribosomal RNA is filed under the name uncultured stramenopile. RNAcentral describes it as "partial 5.8S ribosomal RNA". The record is from RNAcentral.